RNAcentral lists this ribosomal RNA (253 nucleotides) under uncultured bacterium. Its description in RNAcentral is "partial 16S ribosomal RNA". It matches the Rfam family "Bacterial small subunit ribosomal RNA", at positions 524 to 776 of the family's 1533-position model. The record is from RNAcentral.
GACGAACCGUCCUAACGUUGUUCGGAUUCACUGGGCUUAAAGGGCGCGUAGGCGGACUGGUAAAUCCGGGGUGAAAUCUUUCGGCUCAACCGGAAAAGUGCCUUGGAAACUGCCAGUCUCGAGGGGGGUAGGGGCCUGUGGAACUUCGGGUGGAGCGGUGAAAUGCGUUGAUAUCCGAAGGAACGCCGGUGGCGAAAGCGACGGGCUGGACCCCUUCUGACGCUGAGGCGCGAAAGCCAGGGGAGCAAACGGG